Frieseomelitta varia is the source of this 2659-nucleotide RNA transcript. It is a transcript of the gene named mRNA-decapping enzyme 1A, with no coding region annotated. Lineage: Eukaryota; Metazoa; Arthropoda; Insecta; Hymenoptera; Apidae. The record is from RefSeq and is a predicted model, not a curated record. The transcript is spliced from 5 exons.
AUGGUGUUGCUAACUCGCAGAUGUAACAACGGUAUCAACCUUAAAAUCUAGUAUGACGUUUAUUAUACAGGCAGUUGCUUGCGUUGUAUCAAAAUACUGUGCUCUUAGUGAUUGGCUUAGACGAAUAUUAAAUUAAAUUUCAAUCGAAUUAGAAAAAGACCGAUUAUUCUUGUACUUUACAAGUUGUACCAUCAAGCUAUAAGAAACACAAUGACGGAUCCAACAGGGUUACGAAUGAACGUGGCCGCUCUCAAACGAGUAGAUCCCUAUGUAAAAGAUAUUCUGGAAACUGCGACACACGUAGCACUUUAUACUUUUAACGCAGUUAAUCAUGAGUGGGAAAAAACCAAUAUUGAAGGUGCCCUGUUCGUAUAUUCGCGAAGUGGCGAGCCCUAUAACAGUGUUCUUAUCAUGAAUAGAUUAAAUACAAAUAAUCUAGUAGAACCAGUUACCCAAGGUUUGGAUUUACAACUUCAAGAACCCUUUUUAUUAUAUAGAAAUUCCAGAUGCAACAUUUAUGGCAUUUGGUUUUAUGAUAAAGAAGAAUGUGUACGAAUUGGUGCAAUGUUGAAUAAGCUUAUUAAAGAAUCAGAAGAAAACCGCAAGACUUACAAUAAACCUGCUGUUAAUGUGAAAAAGGAUUCUGGUCCUAAUAUGAACAGUGUUGAUAUAUUUAGUAUGCUUAGUAAAGCUCAAGAGGACUUUAAUAUCAAUAGAAGUAAUAGUAGUGGAGGUGGUAUCAGAGAAAGAUUUAGUACUAAAUCUCCAGUAGGUACUCCUACAACAGAUGAUGUAUCUGGACCACUAGCUGCACCGUUAGGUCCAGAUGUUACUUCACAGAGCGUAAUGGAUUUUUUUGCAAAAGCAAAAGUUAAUACUGGACAUUUUAAGACUACAGAUCAGCCUACUCCUGGGGGUACAGUUACAAAUGAAAGUAAACCUUUGCUUGCUCGAUUAAUGUCACACCCAGCAGCUCACACACUUGAACAUAUUGAAAAACAACAUAGAUCUAUAACCCCUCAGCCAGCUACUCAACAGCAAUCUCAAACAACUCCAACUGCUAUAUUGACUGCUAACAGUGCUAGUAAUACUACGUCUUCAAACAGAACGAAAAAACAAAGCAGAUGUGUGUCUCAGCAAGAUUCAAUAUUACCUACGCCUCCAUCUUUAACUCUAGAAGCUCUAACACCUAUGAAUCAAAGUACUACCGAUACAAAUGGAACAACAGGAUUUCUUAGGAUACAAUCACCUACAAAUGCAUCAACUUCUACUUCGACAAAUCAUCAAGCAUCGGAUAUUAUCAGCUCUAGCAGUUCAAAUCCACUUGCGUCUUUGUUUGCUCAUGCAUCUGCGACAACGGCAUCAGAAGAUAUUACAGCCCCCACUCUAUCAGGAAGAGGAUCAGCACCGACAUUAAUUCCUCCUGUUAUGUUCGCUGCUCCUAGUCCACCCGAACCUUUAACUAAACCAUUAGAACCAUUGACAAAAAAUCAGUUUCUUCGAGCUUUUAAUUAUUUGUUGAAGAGUGACCCGGAUUUUAUCAACAAACUUCACGAAGCUUACGUUAAAUCAUUUGGUGAAAUACUAUCCUAGAACUAUGACUUCGUUAAUUGGUAUGAAUGAAACCCGUCAUGCGGGUUGUGACGGCCGACUGAUUUCAUAGUAUCGAGCGAAACCUAGUAUCUCUAUGUUUCAUAGACAUAGAUGGAACACAAUGUCUUGCUCGAAUUUCAAUUGAACUUGACUGGUAGCCCAAUUUUUGGGAAGAUCAAAUCAUAGAUACAAAUAAAGAUACAUACCUUAAACAGUAUUUUUAUAAGCUAAUACACUUUUUUCCCAAGAAAAAGAGUAAAAUGGAUCAUGGAUGAGCAAGGUAUGAAAACAUGUGGAAAUUGUAAAGGGAAUGAAACUAGAAAUAUGAAAAUUGUACGAUUUUAAACUGUGAUGCCAAAACAUUUAUAUUAUACUAACGUUUUAUGGUUACUAUUUCGAAACGAAACAAGACAAAUUUUCUGAGCUAAUAGAUUACCUAUUUUAUGGAAUAAUGACAUACCCUUCCUAUAUAUCGGGUAUCGAUAUGGUAUGCAUAUGUAAUUGAUAAAAGAAGGAAAAUAAAUAGACACCGAUUACUGAAAAAUUAUUUCAAUAUAUUUUAAGUCGAUUUUCGUAUCGAUUUAUCCCUCAUGAGUGACACGUUGUAAAACAAAGUUGUGGUACAUAUUUAAUAAUGUAAUUAUUAUACAGUUAUGUCAUACUAUCACAAUAUAAUAAUAUUUAUAUGGAAUAUGAUUAUUAUGUGAGGAGUACACGAUGUACCAGAAUAACUAAUUUCCGGAAAGAAAAGUAUCUUAUACAAUUUAAAAAAAAACAAAUAUCAGACUCUUAGCGCUCUUCAUUUUUCGUCGACAUUAUUUUUCGAUGGAAAAACACAAUUCUCCGUACUGCUGGUUUAUGUGUAUGUCCCUCGAGAUUAUAUUAUAACAUUACUAUGAUUUUGUGGCUAGAUUCAUCGAACAACAUCGAAGUCUGACGAUAUCGUAAAAUUUGAUUACAAUUAAAAUUUGUACAUCGCCUAAACAAGCGAAUAUCAUUUAAUAUACAAUACAAAAUACAUAAUCUAUUUACAAUGCUACAAAUAAAGAUGAUAUCAUGCGUUUUA